Molecule: non-coding RNA, 85 nt
Organism: Drosophila melanogaster (fruit fly)
Lineage: Eukaryota; Metazoa; Arthropoda; Insecta; Diptera; Drosophilidae
Source: Ensembl
GGGGUGGGUGUACCCGGAAAGUGGUGUUUACACGUCCCGUCCAUGAGUAAUCUGCGCACUUUCCCUCAUAGUUCCUCCUCGUUUU